GCAUCUCCCUUACACUGAGAAGUCAUCCGUGCAAGUCGGAUUACCCUGAAC
Molecule: transfer RNA, 51 nt
Filed under: Glaucosoma hebraicum (Westralian jewfish)
Lineage: Eukaryota; Metazoa; Chordata; Actinopteri; Acropomatiformes; Glaucosomatidae
Description: partial tRNA-Val
Source: RNAcentral